Molecule: unclassified non-coding RNA, 272 nt
Filed under: uncultured fungus
Lineage: Eukaryota; Fungi
Description: partial contains small subunit ribosomal RNA, internal transcribed spacer 1, and 5.8S ribosomal RNA
Rfam family: Eukaryotic small subunit ribosomal RNA (bases 1-73)
Source: RNAcentral
GCAAACUUGGUCAUUUAGAGGAAGUAAAAGUCGUAACAAGGUUUCCGUAGGUGAACCUUCGGAAGGAUCAUUAUCGAGUGCCGGGCGCAAGCCCGUCUUCGCACACCCUCUGUCGACUCUCCGCAGUUGCUUCGGCGGCGCGCCCCUCACGGACGCCCGCCGGAGGACCAACCCAAACGCAUGGCAAACCGGUCUGUCCGAGGCUAUACGCGAAAUCAGUCAAAACUUUCAACAACGGAUCUCUUGGUUCGGGCAUCGAUGAAGAACGCAGC